This 483-nucleotide ribosomal RNA is filed under the name uncultured bacterium. RNAcentral describes it as "partial 16S ribosomal RNA". It matches the Rfam family "Bacterial small subunit ribosomal RNA", at positions 30 to 507 of the family's 1533-position model. The record is from RNAcentral.
AUUGAACGCUGCGGCAGGCCUAACGCCUGCAAGUCGAGCGGAUGAAGGGAGCUUGCUCCUGGAUUCAGCGGCGGACGGGUGAGUAAUGCCUAGGAAUCUGCCUGGUAGUGGGGGAUAACGUCCGGAAACGGGCGCUAAUACCGCAUACGUCCUGAGGGAGAAAGUGGGGGAUCUUCGGACCUCACGCUAUCAGAUGAGCCUAGGUCGGAUUAGCUAGUUGGUGGGGUAAAGGCCUACCAAGGCGACGAUCCGUAACUGGUCUGAGAGGAUGAUCAGUCACACUGGAACUGAGACACGGUCCAGACUCCCACGGGAGGCAGCAGUGGGGAAUAUUGGACAAUGGGCGAAAGCCUGAUCCAGCCAUGCCGCGUGUGUGAAGAAGGUCUUCGGAUUGUAAAGCACUUUAAGUUGGGAGGAAGGGCAGUAAGUUAAUACCUUGCUGUUUUGACGUUACCAACAGAAUAAGCACCGGCUAACUUCGUG